GGUGAGUAAUGCAUCGGAACGUGCCCAGUCGUGGGGGAUAACGCAGCGAAAGCUGUGCUAAUACCGCAUACGAUCUAUGGAUGAAAGCGGGGGACCGAAAGGCCUCGCGCGAUUGGAGCGGCCGAUGUCAGAUUAGCUAGUUGGUGGGGUAAAGGCCCACCAAGGCGACGAUCUGUAGCUGGUCUGAGAGGACGACCAGCCACACUGGGACUGAGACACGGCCCAGACUCCUACGGGAGGCAGCAGUGGGGAAUUUUGGACAAUGGGCGCAAGCCUGAUCCAGCAAUGCCGCGUGCAGGAAGAAGGCCUUCGGGUUGUAAACUGCUUUUGUACGGAGCGAAACGGUCCGGGUUAAUACCCUGGGCUAAUGACGGUACCGUAAGAAUAAGCACCGGCUAACUACGUGCCAGCAGCCGCGGUAAUACGUAGGGUGCAAGCGUUAAUCGGAAUUACUGGGCGUAAAGCGUGCGCAGGCGGUUUUGUAAGACAGGCGUGAAAUCCCCGGGCUCAACCUGGGAAUGGCGCUUGUGACUGUGAAACUGGAGUGCGGCAGAGGGGGAUGGAAUUCCGCGUGUAGCAGUGAAAUGCGUAGAUAUGCGGAGGAACACCGAUGGCGAAGGCAAUCCCCUGGGCCUGCACUGACGCUCAUGCACGAAAGCGUGGGGAGCAAACAGGAUUAGAUACCCU
RNAcentral lists this ribosomal RNA (687 nucleotides) under uncultured bacterium. RNAcentral describes it as "bacterial SSU rRNA". It matches the Rfam family "Bacterial small subunit ribosomal RNA", at positions 105 to 788 of the family's 1533-position model. The record is from RNAcentral.